AUACGGAAGGUCCGGGCGUUAUCCGGAUUUAUUGGGUUUAAAGGGAGCGCAGGCGGAGAUGCAAGCGUGACGUCAAAUUUCGGGGCUCAACCCCGUCUCGCGUCGCGAACUGCGUCCCUUGGUUGCGGGAAGGGGAGGCGGAACUCGUGGUGUAGCGGUGAAAUGCAUAGAUAUCACGAAGAACUCCGAUCGCGAAGGCAGCCUUCCGGCCCGUCAACGACGCUCAUGCUCGAAGGUGCGGGUAUCAAACAGGAAUAGAUACCCUGGUAGUCCGCACAGUAAACGAUGGACACCCGCGGUUUGGCCUGUAUGGCUGAGCCGCCAAGCGAAAGCGUUAAGUGUCCCACCUGGGGAGUACGCCGGCAACGGUGAAACUCAAAUGAAUUGACGGGG
Molecule: ribosomal RNA, 393 nt
Filed under: uncultured bacterium
Lineage: Bacteria
Description: partial 16S ribosomal RNA
Rfam family: Bacterial small subunit ribosomal RNA
Source: RNAcentral